GACGAACGCUGGCGGCGUGCUUAACACAUGCAAGUCGAACGGAAAGGCCCUGCUUUUGUGGGGUGCUCGAGUGGCGAACGGGUGAGUAACACGUGAGUAACCUGCCCUUGACUUUGGGAUAACUUCAGGAAACUGGGGCUAAUACCGGAUAGGAGCUCCUGCUGCAUGGUGGGGGUUGGAAAGUUUCGGCGGUUGGGGAUGGACUCGCGGCUUAUCAGCUUGUUGGUGGGGUAGUGGCUUACCAAGGCUUUGACGGGUAGCCGGCCUGAGAGGGUGACCGGCCACAUUGGGACUGAGAUACGGCCCAGACUCCUACGGGAGGCAGCAGUGGGGAAUAUUGCACAAUGGGCGGAAGCCUGAUGCAGCAACGCCGCGUGCGGGAUGACGGCCUUCGGGUUGUAAACCGCGGGGGGGUGUGACGAAGCGUGAGUGACGGUAAUGGGUAAAGAAGCACCGGCUAACUACGUG
RNAcentral lists this ribosomal RNA (468 nucleotides) under uncultured bacterium. RNAcentral's name for it is "partial 16S ribosomal RNA". It matches the Rfam family "Bacterial small subunit ribosomal RNA", at positions 28 to 507 of the family's 1533-position model. The record is from RNAcentral.